This 253-nucleotide ribosomal RNA is filed under the name uncultured bacterium. Its description in RNAcentral is "partial 16S ribosomal RNA". It matches the Rfam family "Bacterial small subunit ribosomal RNA", at positions 524 to 776 of the family's 1533-position model. The record is from RNAcentral.
UACGUAGGGUGCAAGCGUUGUCCGGAAUUAUUGGGCGUAAAGAGCUCGUAGGCGGUCAGUCGCGUCUGCUGUGAAAACUCGGGGCUUAACUCCGGGCCUGCAGUGGGUACGGGCAGACUAGAGUGUGGUAGGGGAGACUGGAAUUCCUGGUGUAGCGGUGAAAUGCGCAGAUAUCAGGAGGAACACCGGUGGCGAAGGCGGGUCUCUGGGCCGAUACUGACGCUGAGGAGCGAAAGCGUGGGGAGCAAACAGG